Small nuclear RNA from Mesoplodon densirostris (Blainville's beaked whale), 105 nucleotides. NCBI's taxonomy places the organism in Eukaryota, Metazoa, Chordata, Mammalia, Artiodactyla, Ziphiidae. The record is from RefSeq and is a predicted model, not a curated record.
GCUCACUUCGGCCGCACAUAUACUAAAACGGGGCUGAUACAGAGAAGAUUAGCAUGGCCCCUGCGCAAGGAUGACACACCGAUUCGUGAAGCGUUCCAUGAUUUU